AUUAAGCCAAAGAAACUCACAAAAAAUCAAAUUUCGGUAAAUUUUUUCGUUUAUUUUUUUUAUAUGGAGUUUCAAUGCGAAAAUCGAAUACAGUACCGGCCUUAAGCCACAAAACAGUAUUAUAAUAAUAAACAUACAAAUUUUCAGAUGUAGAAUACGAAUCUGAGGCCACCCCAACGCCUAUAACACCACCCAUAUAGGCCAAGUCAUGGAACGGCCAACAUUGAACAUCCCCCAAAACACCCCCGAAACAGGUCGUGUUUGCCGACUAUGUUAAUAUUGGGCUCAAAUCAAAGGUAUUUGGAAGUAGACCACGAAUCUGAUAUCAAUAUUCCACCCCACGUCCCCUAGACCAACUGCGGCCAAAUAGGACGUAUUUGCUCACCAUGACAAUUUUGGGUCUUAAAGGAAAUGGAUCUCGAUAUCGAUAGUUCUUAGGACCCUAAACCGGACAUAUUUGUUGUCUUUUGCAAUAAGGGGUUUAAAUUAAAGGUAUUUGAGAUUAGGAAAUGAAUUUGGUACCCAAUUUUGAGGCCAAUGACAAUAUGGGCUUCAAAUAAAUGAUAUUUGAGAGUAGAGCAUGAUGCUGAUAUAUUUUCAGGGCUAAGUGUUUGGGGGACCACUCCACUCCCCAAAACACCCCUAAAUCGGGCUUAUUUACCAACCACGUCAAUGUUGGCUUAAAUGAAAGUUAUUGGGGAGAUGAGUACGAAAUUGAUACCCACUAUCGGGACCAUUUUUCUUGGGGUCUACCCCUUCCUUAAAACACCCCACAAACAACAAUCAUUUACUGACCAUCGCAAUAUGGGGCUCAAAUAAAGUUAUUUGGGAGAAGAAUACGAAUCUGAUAUCGAAAUGUGGGACCACGUAUUUGGGGCACCGCCCCUUUCCCAAAAUACCCCCCAAAGAGUACAAAUUAAAUUAAUGGCAAUAUAGGGUUUAUGUAAAUGGUAUUUGAUAGAAGAACACGAGGCUGAGAUUUUUUUCAAGGCCAAGUGUCUAAGGGACGUCGUGACAAUACCGAGCUGAAAUAAAGACUUAAUAAUGGAGUAUAUCCAAGACCCACACGUUAAUGACCCUAAACCCACCGAGCGAAUUCAAAGACCAAUAAAGAUCAUAUGGGCUUCAAAAAAAGGCAUUUAUAUCGUUUUACUUUUGCGAUAUACAUAUAUUAUUUUCGUAGCACGGUAUUUCACUAAAAUUUCUUUAAUUGACGAAAAUAAAUAUUCAAAGGAUAAUUUUAUUCCAUAUAAAGUAAAAGAAGCCGCAGCGGAGCGGGCCCGGUUCAGCUAGUAAGAGAGUAAAACAACCAGUUUUGAUUUUAUUCGGGAUAGUUUUGAAGGUAUGACAUAAUUUAUUCGAAAUAAAAUAAGAAGAAAUACUAAGUAGAAAUAAA
Molecule: long non-coding RNA, 1396 nt
Organism: Stomoxys calcitrans (stable fly)
Lineage: Eukaryota; Metazoa; Arthropoda; Insecta; Diptera; Muscidae
Exons: 2
Source: RefSeq, a predicted model, not a curated record